Molecule: ribosomal RNA, 413 nt
Filed under: uncultured microorganism
Description: bacterial SSU rRNA
Rfam family: Archaeal small subunit ribosomal RNA
Source: RNAcentral
CAGCCGCCGCGGUAAUACCAGCCCCGCGAGUGGUCGGGACGGUUAUUGGGCCUAAAGCGCCCGUAGCCGGCCUAGCAAGUCUCCGCAGAAAUCCCCGGGCCCAACCCGGGGGCGUGCGGAGAUACUGCUAGGCUAGGGGGCGGGAGAGGCCGGGGGUACUCCCGGGGUAGGGGCGAAAUCCUAUAAUCCCGGGAGGACCACCAGUGGCGAAGGCGCCCGGCUGGAACGCGCCCGACGGUGAGGGGCGAAAGCCGGGGGAGCGAACCGGAUUAGAUACCCGGGUAGCCCCGGCUGUAAACGAUGCGGGCUAGGUGUCGGACGGGCUUAGAGCCCGUCCGGUGCCGCAGGGAAGCCGUUAAGCCCGCCGCCUGGGGAGUACGGCCGCAAGGCUGAAACUUAAAGGAAUUGGCGGG